RNAcentral lists this long non-coding RNA (1101 nucleotides) under Apteryx haastii (Great spotted kiwi). RNAcentral describes it as "lncRNA (ENSAHAG00000000578.1)". Lineage: Eukaryota; Metazoa; Chordata; Aves; Apterygiformes; Apterygidae. The record is from RNAcentral.
UUUCAGCCACCCCUUAGGUAGCUGAAGAGCGCAGGAGCUGAAGACAGCUACCCCCAUUCGCCUUCUCGACCGCCGACGGAAAAACACCCGCCUCCGGGCCCCCAGUGACCUUGGCGACCCUCCACCAGGCUCCUCCCAUCACCCCGGCACAGCAGCCCAAAGGCAGCCAGGCCCUCUCGUCACCUCUCCCUCGGGGCUCAGGGCAGAAGAGAGGCCACCUCUUCACGCCCCAGGGCGUGCGGGGACAGUGCGGGGCAGGAAAGAARGGCUCACACAACACUUGAAACUCAGGAAUUCUUUUAUUCAUUGGCCCAUGGGGGUUGGCUGGUCUCAGUUUGCAGCCUGCAGAUGUCUCUUCCACGCAGCCCCUCACCUUGUUCUUUUGGCGGCAGGCUGGUGGCUGCGCUCUGUUUGCCGCCUGCGGAUGUCUGUUCCACGCAGCCCCUCACCUUGUUCUUUUGGUGGGGGGCUGGAGGCUGGGCCCAGCUCGAUGGCCGUGCCACUCCCUGGCUCUCCUGGCAUGCCUCUGCUGUCGUGGCUGAUGGAAAGCCAUUCCAGGUGCCGGGGGGUUUUGGCAGGCCACCUUUGCUGGCGGCGGAUCGACCUCCAUCGGCUCCACCUCAUUGUAUGCUGGAGGAUCGACCUCCAUGGGUUCCGGGUCGUCGUUGGGAGGACCAACCUCCAUGGGUCGCCGCUGUGACCUCAGGCCAAGUGGACCGACUGGACCGCCAAGCAUGUCAGCCMUUCAGUUGGCCUGAGGUCACAGCGGCGCGCUGAUGUCACAAUCCCCCUCACUGCCGGUGGCCCCUAUAAAAGCGGGAGCGCUGGCACUGGCCCAGAGCUCACUGAGGCUCUUGCUCCUGGAGCACCAACGAGAGUUGGAGCGGCAGGUGGCAACGAAGCCUCGGCGAGUUACUUGCUACCCUCUGGGUGGUAUCUUGUGAGCAUUCGCAGCUUUCUGCAGGGCACUCCUGCACAAUGAAUCAGGUGGCCCGCAGGGGAACCAAAAGGAUGAGGAUAAGGAGGAGGGAGUUCUGGCAUAAGAUCUGGGCCAUCAAGGAUUCUGUGACAUUGCCCCAAAAGGAUGACACAGAACCCAUG